RNAcentral lists this ribosomal RNA (254 nucleotides) under uncultured bacterium. Its description in RNAcentral is "partial 16S ribosomal RNA". It matches the Rfam family "Bacterial small subunit ribosomal RNA", at positions 524 to 776 of the family's 1533-position model. The record is from RNAcentral.
GACAGAGGGGUGCAAGCGUUGCUCGGAUUUAUUGGGCGUAAAGGGUAGGUAGGUGGUCUCAUUUGUCUGGGGUGAAAGCCUUGAGCUUAACUCAAGAAGUGCCCCAGAAACGGUGAGACUCGAGUCCUGGAGAGGGUCGUGGAAUUCCCGGUGUAGCGGUGAAAUGCGUAGAGAUCGGGAGGAACACCAGCGGCGAAGGCGGCGACCUGGACAGGUACUGACACUCAACUACGAAAGCGUGGGGAGCAAACAGG